UCCUGUGUCAGCACUACACUGAUGAGGCCCAAAAGGCCGAAACGGUACCGUCUGUAGUUAUAUAUAUAUAUAUAU
This 75-nucleotide small RNA is filed under the name Paramuricea clavata. Lineage: Eukaryota; Metazoa; Cnidaria; Anthozoa; Malacalcyonacea; Plexauridae. The record is from RNAcentral.